This 1026-nucleotide ribosomal RNA is filed under the name uncultured bacterium. RNAcentral's name for it is "bacterial SSU rRNA". It matches the Rfam family "Bacterial small subunit ribosomal RNA", at positions 44 to 1062 of the family's 1533-position model. The record is from RNAcentral.
AUGCUUUACACAUGCAAGUCGAGCGGCAGCGCGGGGGCAACCCUGGCGGCGAGCGGCGGACGGGUGAGUAAUGCAUCGGAACAUGUCCAUGUCGUGGGGGAUAGCCCGGCGAAAGCCGGAUUAAUACCGCAUACGCCCGAGAGGGGAAAGUGGGGGACCGCAAGGCCUCACGCGAUUGGGUUGGCCGAUGUCCGAUUAGCUAGUUGGCGGGGUAAAAGCCCACCAAGGCGAUGAUCGGUAGCUGGUCUGAGAGGAUGAUCAGCCACACUGGGACUGAGACACGGCCCAGACUCCUACGGGAGGCAGCAGUGGGGAAUUUUGGACAAUGGGGGCAACCCUGAUCCAGCCAUUCCGCGUGAGUGAAGAAGGCCUUCGGGUUGUAAAGCUCUUUUGUCCGGAACGAAACGGUUACGGUGAAUACCCGUGACUACUGACGGUACCGGAAGAAUAAGCACCGGCUAACUACGUGCCAGCAGCCGCGGUAAUACGUAGGGUGCGAGCGUUAAUCGGAAUUACUGGGCGUAAAGCGUGCGCAGGCGGUUUUGUAAGCCAGAUGUGAAAGCCCCGGGCUUAACCUGGGAAUGGCAUUUGGGACUGCAAGGCUAGAGUGCGGCAGAGGAGACUAGAAUUCCUGGUGUAGCAGUGAAAUGCGUAGAUAUCAGGAGGAAUACCGAUGGCGAAGGCAGGUCUCUGGGCUGACACUGACGCUCAUGCACGAAAGCGUGGGGAGCAAACAGGAUUAGAUACCCUGGUAGUCCACGCCCUAAACGAUGUCGACUGGUUGUUGGGGGUUUGACACUCUCAGUAACGAAGCUAACGCGUGAAGUCGACCGCCUGGGGAGUACGGCCGCAAGGUUAAAACUCAAAGGAAUUGACGGGGACCCGCACAAGCGGUGGAUUAUGUGGAUUAAUUCGAUGCAACGCGAAAAACCUUACCUACCCUUGACAUGUCCUGGAGGCUAGAGAGAUCUGGCUGUGCCCGAAAGGGAACGGGAACACAGGUGCUGCAUGGCUGUCGUCAGCUCG